Molecule: long non-coding RNA, 2578 nt
Filed under: Nicotiana tabacum (common tobacco)
Lineage: Eukaryota; Viridiplantae; Streptophyta; Magnoliopsida; Solanales; Solanaceae
Source: RNAcentral
AAGAGCCCAUUAGCUUCACAGAUCCAGAACGGCGCAAUUAGGGUUUCACUGACCCCCUCCUGUCUUCUAUAAAACUAAGCCACAGCUCUCCUUGUUAUAAUACCCUGCCUCUUCUCCUCUUCCUCCAAUGGCGUCUGUAAUAAUCAUCGGAAUCACACCCGAGCCUCUCUGACGCUCAACCGAGCAAAUGCACCUGUUCAAAAUCACGAUAUGAACUUUCAAAUUAUUGAUCUGAGGUCAUUUACCUUUAUCUGUGCACUUAUUUUUCUCUUUUCAUUUCAGCUAAGUAAAUUGUAAGUCUGCACGUAGCCUCCCGGGCUCGUCUGAGCAAUUUUUACAUGAAGUUAGCAGCCCCAAAGCUCGUGCUAUAUCUACCGCCGCUAGUGUUGCAGUUUAGCCCUUUUGUACCUUCUUUACCCUUGGCUUUAUCUGUGUCAAAAUCAACGGCUACAUUAAAUCCUCUUUACACUAUUUCUAUGUUAAUUUCUUUUUUUUAAUUUAACCAAAAAAUGCCUCAUAUCACCUUUAGCUUAUUUUCUUCUUACUCUGUGAAAAAACUAAGCUAGUCAACGAGGCUGAAAUUAAAAUAGCAGUGUCAACGUGGGGUUUAUUGCAUUUUUCUUACUGUUUUACUCCUAAGUCCACUGCUAUAUUGUAAAUAUUUGUUUUUCUAAUUUGGGAUUUUUUUAAUGUUGGCUAUGAUUUAAAAAUUUAUCCGCGCUUCUGAGAGCAAUCUAUGAAGUAUACGAUAAAAUAAUGGUUGAAUUUCUUAAUAUGAGCCUAUGUUUUCUAAUUUUUUCUUACUAUUAAGUGAGUUUUUGACAAAACAAAAAUUAUUCAGCUUAUUUGGUUUUUGGCAGUGAUGAUAUAUAAAUACAGCUUUAAAGCCAGUUCUGCUUCUGAAAUUCCGUGAUUGAUAGAGCUGUUUAUUUCUCUGAGCCUCAAUUUCAUUAAGAAAAUUACGUUUUUCACAUAGUUUUGUCUUAAUUUAUGUGCUUUAAGUAUAAUUAUUUACGUAUAAAAUGUUUUAUUUAUUGUUAUGUUUAGCUAUGUAUACAAAUAGUUGACCUGUCUUAAUUGUACAAGUGGUUGAAUUUGGAUAAAUGUAACAAUUUUAUGAUUUUCUUGAAUAUUAAAGGUUGAGAAAAAUGUUUUUAAGUGUGAUAAUUAAUGGAGUAUUGUUUAUUAAUUAAUGAACGAUUGAUGUUUUGUUAAUAAGAGGCCAGUGAUGUAUGGUAAUUGUCCGUACCAUAUGAGGAGCUUCACGGCUCCUUUGAUUUUAAAUUUACCUUAAUUUCUGAGGCCUCUUUAAUCUUCCUCAUUUUUCCUUAUAAAACAUUAUUGUUCAAUAGGUGACUAAAGUAAUAUAAUAGCAUUAUAGCUAGUAAAAGUAUUGUUUUUUAUUGCUUAAACCUUGGCAGAGUUUGGCAGUGAUGCACAAAGCAUCUUGCGUUCAUGCAGGCCCUUAGUAAGGGCUUGAAGCCGGGACAACUAAGAAUUAUACUGUUGCUCUAAGGCUUAUUGUCUAGUUGCUGAUGAUGAUAUAAUCUAUUUUAUAUGAGGUGUAGUGGAUCCAAGUCCCUGCUUUUGCAGGGGGAACCUCUUGGCGAAACAACAUUACAAAUGAUCAUAUUGGAUUUUUCUGAAGCUAUAAUUUUUUUAGUUUUUUCAAAAUGGGAUUUUCUUUCUUGCUGAUUUCUUAAUAUGCUGAAAAAAUGAGUUUCACUAUACCCUUGCUCUUUAAAUGUGGAUGUAGGGUCUGAAAAACUCAUAUAGUUAAGUGCUGUCAUCAGCUUCUUCACUUGUACCAAACAUGUUUGGAGUCAAAUAAAAGCACUACAUUUUUUGCGUUUUUAGUUCCAUCUAAUUUCCUUUUAUUUGUUAGAGUUGAAGAAAUUGUGAUUGUUUAUUAUUUGGAGUUGCGAUUGUUGACUGUCAAAUGUGCAAUAUUAUUGUAGUCUGAUCAAAGAUGAUCAAGUAUAUCUGAUACAGUUUAGGACCAUAUUCACUAUUUGAUGAUUAACAAAAUAUGAUCAUCACCUUUUACUCUUUGAGCAAGUAGUGAAAAUGGUUCUAAAUUGUUUUGGACAUACUUUAUCCUAGCCGAUGUUGGAGUAUUUUGAAGGAUUAAGACUGCUUCUGGUACCUAUUUCUCUUGUACUUUUGUUGAUUAUUGAUAUGUCACCUCUUAUAACCAAUCACAGCACUAUUGAGUUCCAGUGCUCUAUGUCACUGUUCCCCACAUGCCAGAUUUGGUUAGCAGCCUUGAUUAAGUACAACAAAGAAAUGUGAUGAACAAUUAUCAAAGAUCAAAGGAUCUUUGUGUGAUGAUUAAACAAGUUGCUAUCUUGCAUGCAAUUGUAUCAAUUGGCCCUUGUGGUUUCAACUAGAAAAGCUUGCUCAACACACCCAUUUCCAGAUUAGUACUUGUGUAUUAUGAGAAAAUACUCCAGAAGUUGGCAAAAAUGUCCAUACGCUUAAAAUUAGUCUGAUUCAUUACUGUAAUGUAUAAGAAAGUGUGUUUCUGAAAUGAGACGUUUCUUCUUGCAUUUUGUUUGAAUUGAAAAAUGAACUAUGA